AACGAACGCUGGCGGCAUGCCUAACACAUGCAAGUCGAACGAGCCCUUCGGGUCUAGUGGCGCACGGGUGCGUAACGCGUGGGAACCUGCCCUUAGGUUCGGAAUAACUCCCCGAAAGGGGUGCUAACACCGGAUAAUGUCUUCGGACCAAAGAUUUAUCGCCUUUGGAUGGGCCCGCGUUGGAUUAGCUAGUUGGUAGGGUAAAAGCCUACCAAGGCGACGAUCCAUAGCUGGUCUGAGAGGAUGAUCAGCCACACUGGGACUGAGACACGGCCCAGACUCCUACGGGAGGCAGCAGUGGGGAAUAUUGGACAAUGGGCGAAAGCCUGAUCCAUCAAUGCCGCGUGAGUGAUGAAGGCCUUAGGGUUGUAAAGCUCUUUUACCCGGGAUGAUAAUGACAGUACCGGGAGAAUAAGCUCCGGCUAACUCCGUG
Molecule: ribosomal RNA, 433 nt
Filed under: uncultured bacterium
Lineage: Bacteria
Description: partial 16S ribosomal RNA
Rfam family: Bacterial small subunit ribosomal RNA
Source: RNAcentral